This 252-nucleotide ribosomal RNA is filed under the name uncultured Bacteroidales bacterium. RNAcentral describes it as "partial 16S ribosomal RNA". It matches the Rfam family "Bacterial small subunit ribosomal RNA", at positions 524 to 776 of the family's 1533-position model. The record is from RNAcentral. Lineage: Bacteria; Pseudomonadati; Bacteroidota; Bacteroidia; Bacteroidales.
UACGGAGGAUGCGAGCGUUAUCCGGAUUUAUUGGGUUUAAAGGGUGCGUAGGCGGGCUGUUAAGUCAGCGGUAAAAUUUGGAGGCUCAACCUCCACGAGCCGUUGAAACUGGCGGUCUUGAGUGGGCGAGAAGUAUGCGGAAUGCGCGGUGUAGCGGUGAAAUGCAUAGAUAUCGCGCAGAACUCCGAUUGCGAAGGCAGCAUGCCGGCUCCACACUGACGCUGAGGCACGAAAGCGUGGGUAUCGAACAGG